Molecule: ribosomal RNA, 641 nt
Filed under: Leucocoprinus sp.
Lineage: Eukaryota; Fungi; Basidiomycota; Agaricomycetes; Agaricales; Agaricaceae
Description: LSU rRNA
Rfam family: Eukaryotic large subunit ribosomal RNA
Source: RNAcentral
AUAUCAAUAAGCGGAGGAAAAGAAACUAACAAGGAUUCCCGUAGUAACUGCGAGUGAAGUGGGAAGAGCUCAAAUUUGGAAUCUGGCGGUUCUGGCCGUCCGAGUUGUAAUCUAGAGAAGUGUUACCUGCGCUGGACCGUGUACAAGUCUCCUGGAACGGAGCGUCAUAGAGGGUGAGAAUCCCGUCUCUGACACGGACUACCAGGGCUUUGUGGUAUGCUCUCAAAGAGUCGAGUUGUUUGGGAAUGCAGCUCAAAAUGGGUGGUAAACUCCAUCUAAAGCUAAAUACUGGCGAGAGACCGAUAGUGAACAAGUACCGUGAGGGAAAGAUGAAAAGAACUUUGGAAAGAGAGUUAAACAGUACGUGAAAUUGCUGAAAGGGAAACGCUUGAAGUCAGUCGCGUUGGCUGGGGGUCAGCUUCACAAGUUUGUGUGGUGUAUUUCCUGGUUGACGGGUCAGCAUCAAUUUUGACCGCUGGAGAAAGGCUUGGGGAAUGUAGCAGCCCUGGCUGUGUUAUAGCCUCUUGUCAGAUACAGUGGUUGGGAUUGAGGUGUGCAGCACGCCGCGAGGCCGGGGCUGUUUUAGCCCACGUUCGUGCUUAGGAUGUUGACAUAAUGGCUUUAAGCGACCCGUCUUGAAA